Molecule: ribosomal RNA, 466 nt
Filed under: uncultured bacterium
Lineage: Bacteria
Description: partial 16S ribosomal RNA
Rfam family: Bacterial small subunit ribosomal RNA
Source: RNAcentral
GAUGAACGCUGGCGGCGUGCUUAACACAUGCAAGUCGAACGGAAAGGCCUCUGCUUGCAGGGGUACUCGAGUGGCGAACGGGUGAGUAACACGUGGGUGAUCUGCCCUGCACUUCGGGAUAAGCCUGGGAAACUGGGUCUAAUACCGGAUAGGACAAUGGUUUGGAUGCUGUUGUGGAAAGUUUUUCGGUGUGGGAUGAGCUCGCGGCCUAUCAGCUUGUUGGUGGGGUAAUGGCCUACCAAGGCGUCGACGGGUAGCCGGCCUGAGAGGGUGUACGGCCACAGUGGGACUGAGAUACGGCCCAGACUCCUACGGGAGGCAGCAGGGGGGAAUAUUGCACAAUGGGCGCAAGCCUGAUGCAGCGACGCCGCGUGGGGGAUGACGGCCUUCGGGUUGUAAACUCCUUUCGCUAGGGACGAAGCGUUUUUGUGACGGUACCUGGAGAAGAAGCACCGGCUAACUACGU